CUCCCGAGAGUUCCGAAAAGCAACUUCCGUUAGUCUUGAUCUCUAAGGCGUUUUGUUUUCAUCAAAUAUGGCGACGAUGAAGAAGCGUUUGAGGUCGACACGAUCAGAAGAAUUUCAGGUGUGAACAUAAACAGAAAAUAUGCUAGAAGAUGUUCCAUCGGAAUUGGACAGUUUGGUAGAGGAAGCAGACCUACAGAAAGAGGAAGAAGAAGAGACAUCACUUCGAAGGAAAAAACAUCUUCAUCUUCAUGAAUAAAAUAGACAGAGGCAGAACUUAAUGAGGUGCAUGAAUAUAUCAGAGAAUGUCUGAACACAAACACCAGUACAGGAAGAAAAAGAUUGCAAUAUGGGAUUAGAGAAGAACAGACCAAAUAGAAGUGUCAUACAGUUUAGGCCAAGGAAGACCCUGAACAAGAACGUAUAGAACAUAAUUCAGAAACAAUAAUAAAACCAUUUGACAUUUUUUGUAAUCUAGGAUUAAAGCCCCACGUGUGAAGUUUUGUCAUGUAAUGAUCUCUGACUCUUAACAUUAUUUUUUCUUCUGUUCUAAUUAUGUACAGUGAAUAUCUGAUCAAAUAUUUUGAUCUAGCUUUGUGGAAAAGAUUUUGACAGUGUAUAAGUUUUGACACGAAGUAGUUCAUUUCUUAACUUGAGGUAAUGGUGAAUAUCACAAGUCAUUACUAUUACUGUAGGGAAUAUAUGCAUUGUAUUUGUAUUCCAUGGGAAACUGAAUAGUAGCAUGUAAUCAGUUUGAGAUUUUUUUCGUACGAUGGAAGACAAUUUUCAUUGACCUAACAAAUGAUUGGUCUAUGAUGAUAUAAGCAAUUUUAUGGAUUUUCGAUACAUUUAAUGUGAAUGUCCUUAGAUAAGAGCAACUCGUAGCCAAUAUGUACGCAAGGAUGCGAUCUAUUUAACAGUUUGAUAAAUAUAUAAUUAUAUAUAUAUAUCAAUAUCAUGGACUUUCUUCUGCUGAUGAAAAUUCCAUUAAUAAUGCAACUGAUAGGAAAUAUGUACCCUGGAAUCUGUUUUAUUAAGGAUUAUGUGGCCUUCUAUAUAUGUGUCAAUGCUUAGAUAAAUGCUGUUCUGUAUUUUAAAGUUAGAAAUAAAAAAGAGACUAUUUCUUAA
Ostrea edulis (European flat oyster) is the source of this 1125-nucleotide long non-coding RNA. RefSeq lists it as uncharacterized. NCBI's taxonomy places the organism in Eukaryota, Metazoa, Mollusca, Bivalvia, Ostreida, Ostreidae. The record is from RefSeq and is a predicted model, not a curated record. The transcript is spliced from 4 exons.